This is a long non-coding RNA of Microplitis mediator, 1046 nucleotides long. RefSeq lists it as uncharacterized. The transcript has 3 exons. The record is from RefSeq and is a predicted model, not a curated record. Lineage: Eukaryota; Metazoa; Arthropoda; Insecta; Hymenoptera; Braconidae.
CUAUAUGAUUCAUGGCCGUUAAUUGUCGCAGUUCAUUCAGCAGAUUUUAUAAAUCAAUUAUCAUAAAUUUUUUUGACAGAACUGACUGAAUUCAAACUACUAAAUCAAAUUUUAAAUUCACGUAACAAUUAAAGCGAUUGAAAUCAGACUUCAAGUUAAAUUUAUUGACGUUUAUUGAUGAAUGUAUGAAUUAAAUUUAUUUUAAUAGAUUUAAUGAUAAUUAAAUACAAGAACUAAAAUAUGGUUUGUUGCGACAAGUAAUUAUUUCUAGAAAAAAAAAAAUGCCUUUAAAUAAUUGUGUUUAAUUGCAAUUUUAAUGAAUUAAUUAAAAAUCUAAAUGUCAAGAAGUUGGAAUACAGUAAAGAAUAAUUUUUUUAAAUUAAAAGCGUAAACGUGUUAAGAAAAUAAUUCAAGACCUUCAACAAUGGAAUGCAAAUUAAUUGGAAUGAACAAAAAGGUGAUUGUAGCAACGUUGGAUAAGAAAUGACAAUUAUGUCUGUAAUGGAAAUAAGAAAAUGAAUAUAACAUUUCUGAACAAUGGAUACAAUAAUAUUACUGGAAAGGAUGCAUUGAAGAUCUGCUGUUAGAUGAAAUGAAGUAACGUACAUACUACACGCAAUGUAGAGAAAAAAAGAUAAGACGUCUAGCCGAUCCUUAUUUCCUUCCUUUCCAGACAACUGCAAUUCAACUGCUGAACUCAAUUCCGUCGACAAUCGCGUCACGACUUUGUGUGAAAAAAAAAAAACAAUCUGAUAAAGAAAAUUAUCGAAAAUUUAAAACGAUGAAGCUAUGAUAAAUCUGAAAUAUUUACUAUUUUGAAGGUAGAAAUUCAACUUUUUACCUUAUAAAUUUACAAUAAAUUAAAUAAAUGAAUGCUCAAAUCGUCAAGCUUUACAGUUCUCCCUUGAACUAUACUUAAUAUUAGGGUCCUGGAGUAAAAUACGUCGGAAUAAAUUUUUCAACAAACACUCUUAUUGCGCUUUAUCGGAUUUUAUCGCACCCUAUACCAAUGAUGUUAAAAGCUUUUCUAUACUUUAUGCAAAUAA